GGGAAUCUUGCACAAUGGAGGAAACUCUGAUGCAGCGACGCCGCGUGAGCGAUGAAGCCCCUCGGGGUGUAAAGCUCUUUCGGCAGGGACGAUAAUGACGGUACCUGAAGAAGAAGCUGCGGCUAACUACGUGCCAGCAGCCGCGGUAAUACGUAGGCAGCGAGCGUUGUUCGGAAUUACUGGGCGUAAAGAGUGUGUAGGCGGUGCUAUAAGUUCGGUGUGAAAUCUCCCGGCUCAACUGGGAGGGUGCGCCGAAAACUGUAGUGCUCGAACGUGGGAGAGGAAAGCGGAAUUCCUGGUGUAGCGGUGAAAUGCGUAGAUAUCAGGAGGAACACCUGUGGUGUAGACGGCUUUCUGGACCAUUGUUGACGCUGAGACACGAAAGCGUGGGUAGCAAA
This 398-nucleotide ribosomal RNA is filed under the name uncultured bacterium. RNAcentral describes it as "bacterial SSU rRNA". It matches the Rfam family "Bacterial small subunit ribosomal RNA", at positions 357 to 772 of the family's 1533-position model. The record is from RNAcentral.